UGGGGAAUUUUGGACAAUGGGCGAAAGCCUGAUCCAGCAAUGCCGCGUGUGUGAAGAAGGCCUUCGGGUUGUAAAGCACUUUUGUCCGGAAAGAAAUGGCUCUGGUUAAUACCUGGGGUCGAUGACGGUACCGGAAGAAUAAGGACCGGCUAACUACGUGCCAGCAGCCGCGGUAAUACGUAGGGUCCAAGCGUUAAUCGGAAUUACUGGGCGUAAAGCGUGCGCAGGCGGUUGUGCAAGACCGAUGUGAAAUCCCCGAGCUUAACUUGGGAAUUGCAUUGGUGACUGCACGGCUAGAGUGUGUCAGAGGGGGGUAGAAUUCCACGUGUAGCAGUGAAAUGCGUAGAGAUGUGGAGGAAUACCGAUGGCGAAGGCAGCCCCCUGGGAUAACACUGACGCUCAUGCACGAAAGCGUGGGGAGCAAACAGGAUUAGAUACCCUGGUAGUCCACGCCCUAAACGAUGUCAACUAGUUGUUGGGGAUUCAUUUCCUUAGUAACGUAGCUAACGCGUGAAGUUGACCGCCUGGGGAGUACGGUCGCAAGAUUAAAACUCAAAAUGAAUUGACGGGGUCAUAGCUGUUUCC
Molecule: ribosomal RNA, 585 nt
Filed under: uncultured bacterium
Lineage: Bacteria
Description: partial 16S ribosomal RNA
Rfam family: Bacterial small subunit ribosomal RNA
Source: RNAcentral